Megachile rotundata (alfalfa leafcutting bee) is the source of this 979-nucleotide long non-coding RNA. The record is from RefSeq and is a predicted model, not a curated record. Lineage: Eukaryota; Metazoa; Arthropoda; Insecta; Hymenoptera; Megachilidae.
UUGAGUACUUGAGUGUUUUAGAUAAAAAAAUUGAAGAAUUUAGAACAAGCGUAUUAAAAUCAUAUAUUGAACACCCUUUGUACACAAAGUGUACAGUAUUCAAGCUACAGAUCUUUAUUUAAUCCAAUCGUUUAGAUUGGUUUCUCUUUAUCCCGUAAAUCAUUAGAAUCAGCGUUAAGUAACUUUUUCACAAUUUACGUAACACGGCUACCGUAAGAACAAUUUUAAUUCGAAAUAAAUGAUUCCGUUAAUUUCGCUCGCGCCAGUGACUGGAGUUAUGCGCAGACCUUUGCAUUUCGUAAUCACCGAAGGUGUCAACGUCAUCGGCGAAGUAUGAACGCUGGCACGUGUGCGAAUAAGUUCAUCCAAUUAAUUAUGGCGGAGCAACGAACCAACUCUGAAUCGACAUCGAGGACCCCUGCCACACUGCAACGUACAGUAUCAAGUUUAACCACACGUACUUAAUGUUAAUUAUGCAAUGCUGAACCGGACGAAAAGGACUCGACCUUUAUCGGUAGAUACUAUAAUAUAUGAUAACACACUAAACUGUUGAUUAUGCAACACAUAAGAAGCAAUACAAACGUACAGAUUUCGGCUAAUGAGCGACAAAAAUUGCUCUCAACUGGAAAUUUAAGUGGAAAGAAGAGUUUUCAAAGGGCACUUCAAGCUUGCUGAUUACAACCUGUCGAGUUUUGUUCCAUGAUUGCCCCGAAAGAAGUCCUUUAACGUGUCUCGUUUGGUCCUUAAUGGCGUUUAAGUCGAGUACCAAACCAACAGGUUAAGAUCUUCCGACAGGUUAACUGAUUUUAACGGGAUUUUAAAAAUGUCUUGUUAACAGAAUAUUUCGUAACGAUGCUUUCUGUACGGUCAUUAAACAUUGGAAGCUCACAUUGGAAGAACAUCUGAUGCCACUCCAUCAUUUUUGUACAUAAAUAUGGAAAAUCAUCAAAUUUAAAAAAAGUUUAAUUUUACAAAUUUA